UUAAAGGAUGUGAAAAUAAGCAGCCACAGGUUGAAGAAGAAAUGGAGAAGCACAGAUGUAAUAGCACAGAAUUAUCAGGAACCCUAACUGAUGGCACUACUAUUGGCAAUGAUGAUGAUGGACUAAAUCAGCAGAUUCCUAGGAAGGAAAAUGGAGAGCAUGACAGGCCUGCAGAUAAAGCAUCUAAUGAAAAGAACGAGGUCAAAAACCAAAUAUAUCCUGAGGCUGACUUUGCUGACUCAAUGGAGCCAUCUGAAAUAGCCUCAGAGGAUUGUGAGUUGUCUCACUCUGUUUAUGAGAAUUUUAUGUUGCUGAUUGAACAACUUAGAAUGGAGUGUAAAGAUUCUGUUAGCCUACCAAGAAUCCAAGACACAUUUUGUUUGUGUGAACGCUUACUGAAACUUAAGAAUAAUCACUGUGACCAACUUACAGUAAAAAUUAAACAAAUGGAAAAUGUGGUCAGUGUACUACAAAAUGAGCUAUCUGAAACAAAAAAGACAAAAUUACAGUUAGAACUUCAAAAAAUUGAAUGGGAGAAAGAGCUGUACAAUUUGAGACUUGCCUUAAAACAAGAAAAUGAGGAGAAAAGAAAUGCCAAUAUGUUGUAUAAUAAAGAUAGUGAACGGUUAAGAAUAAAAGAAGAGGAGUGUGGGAAAGUGGUUGAAACAAAGCAACAACUUAAAUGGAAUCUGAGAAGACUUGUUAAGGAAUUGAGGACAGUAAGAAAUAACUUGGAUCUGGUUGUGCAGGAGAGAAACGAUGCCCAGAAGCAACUUUCUGAAGAACAGAAUGCGAGAAUAUUACAAGAUCAGAUUCUGACGAGUAAAGAAAAGGAACUAGAAAUGGCUCAAAAGAAAAUGAAUUCUGAGAUUUCUCAUAGGCAUCUGAAAGAAAAGGAUCUCUUUCAUGAAAAUUGCAUGUUGCAGGAAGAAAUUGCCUUGCUGAGACUGGAAAUAGAUACAAUAAAACAUCAGAAAAAGCAAAAGGAAAAGAAAUAUUUUGAGAACAUUGAGGUUGUGAAAGAAAAGAAUGAUAACCUUCAAAAAAUUAUAAAACUAAAUGAGGAAACAUUAACAGAAACAAUACUCCAGUACAGUGGACAGCUGAACAAUCUGACAACUGAGAACAAAAUACUCAAUUCUGAACUGGAGAAUGGGAAACAGAACCAAGAAAGACUGGAAAUAGAAAUGGAAUCAUACCGUUGUAGACUGGCUGCUGCUCUAUGUGACUGUGAUCAAAGUCAGACAGCAAGAGACCUAAAACUUGAUUUCCAGAGAACAAGACAAGAGUGGGUUCGUUUACAUGACAAAAUGAAGGUUGAUAUGUCUGGCCUACAAGCUAAGAAUGAGAUUCUUUCUGAAAAACUUUCUAAUGCUGAAAGUAAAAUCAACAGCCUACAAAUUCAGCUCCAUAACACAAGAGAUGCUCUUGGAAGAGAGAGUUGGAUUUUGGAACGUGUGCAAAGAGACCUCAGCCAAACACAGUGUCAGAAGAAAGAAACUGAACAAAUGUACCAAAUUGAACAAAGCAAACUGAAGAAAUACAUUGCCAAGCAGGAAUCUGUAGAGGAGAGAUUAUCUCAACUACAAAGUGAAAAUACGUUGCUUCGACAGCAACUGGAUGAUGCUCACAAGAAAGCUAACAGUCAAGAAAAGACAAUCAGUACUAUCCAAGACCAGUUUCAUUCUGCUGCCAAAAAUCUUCGAGCUGAGAGUGAAAAGCAGAUUCUUUCACUACAAGAGAAGAACAAGGAGCUGAUGGAUGAAUAUAAUCAUUUAAAAGAAAGAAUGGAUCAAUGUGAGAAAGACAAAGCAGGAAGAAAAGUAGUCAUGAGAGAAUUCCACCAAGAAUGGACCGAUCUCCUAAAACAACAACCUACAUCAGAGGCUACCUCACGUUGUCACAUUAAUUUAGAUGAGACACAGGAUUCAAAGAAGAAAUUGGGUCAAAUCAGAAGUGAAGUUGACCUUACAGAAGCACAGGAAACUGUACCUUCACGAUGUCUACAUCUGGAUGCAGAGAAUGUUCUUCAACUUCAACAGACAUUAUUCUCUAUGAAAGCAAUACAAAAGCAAUGUGAAACACUACAGAAGAAUAAGAAGCAGCUGAAACAAGAAGUAGUAAACCUCAAAAGUUAUAUGGAGAGAAAUAUGUUAGAACAUGGUGAAGCUGAACAGCAUAAACUGUUGAUUGAAGAAAGAGCAAGGAAGGAGACAGAAGAAAAAUUAAACGAAGCCGUUCUCACCUUGCAGAAACAAGCAGCAGUAUCUCAAGAACAGUUAGCACAGUUAAGGGAGGAUAAUACUACUUCAAUAAAAACUCAGAUGGAACUCACAAUCAAAGAUCUGGAAUCUGAAAUCUCCAGAAUAAAAACUUCGCAAGCCGACUGUAAUAAAACCGAAUUGGAAAGAUAUAAGGAACUCUACCUAGAAGAAGUAAAAGUUAGAGAAUCCUUGUCAAAUGAACUCAGUAGAACUAAUGAGAUGAUAGCAGAGGUCAGUACGCAACUUACUGUGGAGAAAGAGCAGACCAGAUCCAGAUCUCUAUUCACUGCUUAUACUACAAGGCCAGUCCUAGAGUCACCUUGCAUUGGAAAUCUUAAUGACAGUGAAGGUCUCAACAGAAAACAUAUUCCAAGAAAAAAGAGAUCUGCUCUUAAGAGCGUGGAGAGCUACUUGUUGAAGGUUAGCUAUGUUUUUUCCUUUGGCGUUCAGAUUUCUGAUAUAAUUCUUAUAUGUUAUUUGGUAAAAUACUCAGUUACUUAAUUGGCUUGUGUAUGGUAAGUAAAAGUAAUAAUUACCUGUGUUAAUAAAGAGAGGAGACAGAAAUUUUAGUUAUUUUUAAGUCUCUGGAGCUCUCAUUCAUAAGAGAUUACUCCUUUGUUAACUUUAUUCAAUAAAUGUAACCAAACUGACAUAUUUUAAAUUUCUUUAAAAACUGCAUUUAAGUUAGAUUUUAACCAAAGGUUUACUUUGAUGUGCUUUGUCUUACUAAUUGAUUUUAGUUUGUCUGGGGUUCACUUUUAAAGGGUAUAGUGUGCCUGGGGUCACUUUUAAAGUUUUUCUGCAUCAUCUCAGGUUUUCUACCCCUCAUCAUAUGUUAAUGAUUGGUGUCCAAACACUAACCACCCAUGGAUGUUUAUUAUUUAAAAGGACCCAAGGUGAAUACUUUUAUAUGUUAUAUAAACCUGCAACACUUGAUUAAUCUGUUCUUUAAGUUAAAAGUUUUGUGAUUUUCUUACAUGAGUACAUCUGUAAUUGCUAUUGCACUUAAUAGUGUUUUAAUCCCAAUUUUAGUAAAAUGUGUCUAUUGCUAUGCAGUAGUACAGUGGUUUUGAAAUAGUUAAAUCAAAUAAAUAUUUGUAUUUUUAAAGU
Molecule: small RNA, 3374 nt
Filed under: Pongo abelii (Sumatran orangutan)
Lineage: Eukaryota; Metazoa; Chordata; Mammalia; Primates; Hominidae
Description: retained intron
Source: RNAcentral